UAAUAAUAAUAAAUAAAUAAAUAAAUAAUAAAAACACUUAAGACAUGGAGUUGUGUAUCCUACUUUGGCUUAUUUCUCAUAGGGAAAACAGCACUAUGUUCUAUCCCACUGCCCCAGCAGAGCCCAGCCUCCCCAACCAUAAACGCUGGUGUACUUGUCUGUUGGACCAAAGAUUAUAAGAGGCUUGAGGAAAGGUGACGGUGCCUUACUCAUGCAUGCAGCAUCCACCAAUGCCCGACUGCCAGUGGGUGGUGAGUAGAUACCAGGAGACUGAGUUCUUAGAGCUAUGGUCCUGGACCCAAGGGAAGGAUCUUGGAAGCCCUGUUGGUUAUGGAGGAUAGAGCUGCUUGCCUUUGAAAAGACCAAUGGACUUGGACCAUGAACAUAAAGUUGCAUUAUCCAUGAUGGACUGGAGACCAGAGACCCUUCCCUUCCCAGGCACCUGUAAGUUGCUGGACUCACGUGUAGCCAUGGGUGAAAAGAAGACCUGCCUCUUGAAAUAUGACUGAGAUCAAAUUCCUUGCCACCAUGGCAGGUGGGAGCUUGGAGUACUGAGUAAGUGUCUGUACAACGAUGGAUGACCAGUACCAAGGCCUUGCAAGAUCUUCAACCAUCAAAUGAAAAUUCAACUUCUUUUCAUAAGUUCCAAGGCAGAGGGUAGGCUCUCCCUAUUUAGAAAACUGUUUAUCCCUAUUAGAAAGCAGAAAUUCUUCCUUGUACCUCACAUUAUGCCCCUCCUCAACCCCUCCACUGGCUUCUCAUCUCUGAAUAAAUAUCCGAAGUUCUUAUCUUGGCCUUCCAGUCCUAGGAGAUCUGGCCCCCACUCACUCUCUGACCUCAUCUCCUAACACGCUCCCCCUCUUUUAUUCCCUUGAGCCACAAUGUUCCCCUCGUGUGCCUCCUUGUUCCUGCCUCAGAAUGUUUGCCCUUGCUGUUUCUUCUGCCUGAACGCUCAGCCCUGGGAUCUCCGCAUGGCUUUAUCCCUCACUUCCUGCUAGUCUCUGCUCACAAGUCACCUCUUUAGAAAAGCCUUCCCGGAUCACUUUAUCUAACAGAGUAUCCCUCUCUCAGCCUUGCCACCCCACACUUUUUGUUUACCAUACUUUAUUUCUCUCCAAAGUCCUUAGCUGACAUAUACAUGAUAUAGUUAUUACAUUUGUCUGUAGUCUGUUUCCCCCAGAUUUUAUUUUACUGACUUUGGAAUCCCCAAUGCCUAGAACAGUAUCUGGCACAUAGUAAGGAUUCAAGAAAUAUUUGUUGAAUUAAAUAAGUGAAUUUAUCCAGCAAAUACAACUGCCCCAGGCCACCACACUCCAUGGAUAUUCCCCUGAAGUGAGAUUUGAUUGGGCAUGAGCUGCAGAAACAGGAUAGAGUGCUGGAGCUGGAAGAGACCUUGGGAUCACUGACUUCUGCCCUUUCACAGGGCUGCCGGGGCACACAGGGUGUAAACCUGCCGUGAGGCCUGGGGCUUUCCUGUGAUCUUAAGGAGGCUGCCUUGUUGAGGGAGAUGCCCAGCCCAGUGGCUCUGCGGUGUCUUCUCCAACAUCACUGGGCGGGAGCACAAGGGAAAUUCCUUAGGCAGUGAGAGCUACCCGAGAAAAUAAACUUGGGAAACCCAGGUUCUGCGGAUCUCUUACUUCUCAGGGCUGCAGGUAAGUUUCUGUGUGUUGCGAUUCUCUGAGAUGAAAUGACUGUACAUCUCAUUUCUCAAACUUUUUUUUAAGCCUUUUUUCUGGUGAAUCCUUUUAUGGGAUUUGUCUUUCCAGGGACACAUUUGGGAAAACGCUGCUUUUUUGCCUUUUUACUGGCUGAAGCACCUUCUGAACAGGCAUGGGGAAGCUACAGGGGUCAGUGGCUUUUGUUAGCUAAAGAACCCAGAGAUGGGACUUUUCCUUUCCUUAAGGCCAGGGCUUGCCAGCUCCUCCCAUCUUUUAGAGGAACCCCAAAGCAUACCCUUUUCUACAUUCUGCUACCCCCUGGCCCCCCCCAGACCUGAAAUGGCUCCCUUCAGUCUCUCUUUUCUUCAGCCCCCCAACACUUGUCUCACCAGGCCCAGCUUUUCCUUCUGGAUGUCGCUUGCCGCCCGCCUAUCCUCCCACCUGCCUCCUGAGGCCUGGUUUGGAGGUUCUCCUCCUUCCAGGAGCCCAGCGCUGCCUCUAGGAGAGAGAAUUAUCCUGGAAACUCCCCCUUCUCCCUGCCUGACAGCAGCCCCUGCUGAACUCCACAGCCGCAGCUGGGAGCCAUUUAAAUAGCUGAUGCAGGGUGGGCUGGUGGCUACUGCCUGUAAUCCCACACUUUGGGAGGCUGAGGUGGGAGCACUGCUUCAGCCUAGGAGUUCAAAACCAGCCUGGGCACUAUAGCAAGGACCCUGUCUCUAAAAAAGAAAAAAAAUAGCUGAUCUGCAUCUGAAAGGAGAUAAGCAGUUUCCUGAGCGGUAUACUGUGCAGUAUCCAGCUUCGUAAACUAAGGGCAUACACACUGUAGACAUGUCCAUGCAUAUCUGCACAAGGAAAGAAAACGCAUGGAGGUGAGGGUGUUGGUGGCUAACUCUGGGUGGUGGGAUUUGGGGUGAUUUUUUUCUCCUGCGUUGCUUAGCUGUGCUUUUAAAUUUUAUUUUUUCACGUAUGUUUGCAACAACGAAAACUCAUGAUAAGUGUCAAUAAAUCGGCAGCUCUCGUUUGGUUCCUCAUUAGCUGUGUAACCUCAAACAAAGUACUUAACCUCUCAGGCUCCUCAUCUCAAAUACAUCCCACCUCCCUCCUCCUCUGAGAUGCCGCGGGAUUCAUCUCUCUCCCACAGCCAGAUUGCAAGCAGCUAGAGAGCAGGCAGGUGCUAAAUAAAUCCUCAGUGACUGAGCCCGGAGCCAAACACAUUUAUCCUUGUCAUCCAUCCAAUUCUGUGCAGCUGGGAUGGAGCCCAAGGCGCUGAGGACAACAUAAAUCUGCUCUUUGGGCCACACCCAUUUCUUCUCCAAGCAGAUGUGGUAGCCGGGAGCCAAGUCUUGGGGGCUCAGCGCUGGGCUGAGAAGGGGACGAGCUCCAGGCCCGGUGAGUUGGAAGUCUCGGAGAAAGGCUGACUGGCUUCACCUCGCCUCCGCCGCCCAGGGGCUGUGUGAGCAGGCUUUGGCAGCGAUUUCUCCAGCAGGAAGGGAUGAAGCCCUGACCAGGUUCAGAGGCAGCGGGUCAGGACCGUGCCUGGGCUCAGUCCCGCCCUGGCUCCUUCGCUUCUCGCCGCUGUGAGCCUGGGCAGUGGCUUCGCUGCUCUGGGCCCCACUUUCCUCAAGCGUUAGCAGGACAGUGGCACUCUAUUUUGGAAUCUCAUGAGAAUAAAAUGAGAUGAUGCAUGGACAACCUGCACAUAGCAAGUGCUAAUAAUUACCAUCUCUUAAGUUGGUUUGAAGGUCCAAAGCCAGUCCCUAAUUGAGUAGCCUCCGGUAGCUCAAAGUACAUGGCUGGCUUAAGGCCUGGGAUCCUUUCCCAGUGCUAACCGAGCUGCCAUAAAUGUAACUCAUGGAAAGCAAGCUCCAGGUCUGACAUGGGCGGGGCCCAUCCUGCUGAGAUACAGUACAGCCUCAAGUGGAUUUAUUAACCCAAAGAAACUAGCAGCACAACUUGUGUGCUGACACCUGCUAGUCACUUCAUACCUCACGAUCCCCUUUUCACGGAACAGGACAUCCAUCUAGGCACAGAGAGGAUAAGGUUCUGCCCAAAGCCACACAGCAUGAUAAAUGGCGGAACUUGGGUCUAAAUACUGCAUCAGAAGACAGUAUCUCUGCUCACCCCUAUUUUGUUUUGCAACCUCUGGAAUUUUCCAUUCCAUUUGUUUAACGCCACUUAUAAUGAAGGCCUCCUCAUGCAUCUUGAGAAGGCAUGUGUUCAGUGGUACAGUAUACAAACUCACUUCUCCCACAUGCUGGCCGCACUAAGUGCCACACCUUGAAAUAAUUCUGAGACAUUCUUCUUAGGAUAUUUGUGGCAUAAGGAGGAAGCCCUUGGUGCCUUCGUGCAGCUGUGUUCCUCUAGGAUAGCAAUUGUGAUAAAGACCCAGGGCCGGCUGGUGACUGAAACGGGAGUGGUUUCUACCAAAUCCUGUGAGCAAUUUAGACUCUCUUGGGUAUUCCCUAAACAGUCAUCAUCAGACUGGGAGGAGAGAGCAAAUAUUACCUGAAAUGAGGCCGCUUGGUGGAAGACAUUGGAGAAACACAGCUGGAAAGAUGGACGCUCUGCGGUUCAGAAACACUGGAGUUUCACAUUUGACCUCUGGCUUUCAUGUGAGAUGAAAGGACAGAACACUUUUCCAAAGUUAUUUUCUCUUUACAUGAGUUCAAGGGCUGUGGUGAAAGUGAGGAAUCCAAAGUCUACCCAGACUACUUCCUCUUAUUUUGAUUUAUGCCAGUGGUUUAUAACUUUUUAUAAUAAAUAUUUUGUAAACUCCCUUUAA
This is a long non-coding RNA of Homo sapiens (human), 4440 nucleotides long. RefSeq lists it as uncharacterized. The transcript is spliced from 2 exons. The record is from RefSeq and is a predicted model, not a curated record. NCBI's taxonomy places the organism in Eukaryota, Metazoa, Chordata, Mammalia, Primates, Hominidae.